This 74-nucleotide transfer RNA is filed under the name Percalates novemaculeata (Australian bass). RNAcentral's name for it is "tRNA-Lys". It matches the Rfam family "tRNA". Rfam says of the family: Transfer RNA (tRNA) molecules are approximately 80 nucleotides in length. The record is from RNAcentral. Lineage: Eukaryota; Metazoa; Chordata; Actinopteri; Centrarchiformes.
CGCUAAGAAGCUAAACUGGACAUAGCGUUAGCCUUUUAAGCUAAAGAUUGGUGGCCUCCGCCCACCCCUAGCGA